UACAAAUCAGAGCUCUUGUCAGAUGUUAAAGGUUGAUUUGCUGGACAUCUGUUAUGGUGAAGGCUGAGCAGCUCAGUAUUUCAUUUCCCAGACUCUCCUGGAGUGAAACAUGACGCGGAGCCCCAGCAUGCAGCAAAAACAUCUAUGCUACAGACAAUAAACUUGUUAAUCAGUUUUCUGCAAUAAAGCUUAUCUUUUGGUACCUGUUGGCUCCCAGCAGUGUUGGUAUUUGAACUUAGAGUCUUCAUCACCUGCUUCAGACCACAUUCAC
Manis pentadactyla (Chinese pangolin) is the source of this 271-nucleotide long non-coding RNA. RefSeq lists it as uncharacterized. The record is from RefSeq and is a predicted model, not a curated record. The transcript has 4 exons. NCBI's taxonomy places the organism in Eukaryota, Metazoa, Chordata, Mammalia, Pholidota, Manidae.